Strongylocentrotus purpuratus (purple sea urchin) is the source of this 992-nucleotide long non-coding RNA. RefSeq lists it as uncharacterized. The transcript is spliced from 3 exons. Lineage: Eukaryota; Metazoa; Echinodermata; Echinoidea; Camarodonta; Strongylocentrotidae. The record is from RefSeq and is a predicted model, not a curated record.
UGUUCAAAACACAAUCUUAGAGUCGUGUGCGUAGAAUAGUAUCCCCUCGUGCUGGUUCAAUGUAUUCAUUGAGUCAAGUUGGAGUUUUUGAAAGUGAAAACUUAUUCAUUCGAGCGAGUAAGCAGAAAGCUUGAACAGUUCUUGAGGAUUUAUACUUAGGAUGUCAGUGAUUUUCAACAUAGUCAUUACAAGGAAUAUAUAACGCCUAUGGAUUAAAUCAGAGUUAUAUGCUUCAUCGCAUUGGAGAAGUUUUCAAGGAUCCACUUUUUUCUAGACUGGUCUUAACGCACAUAGAAGUGAAUAGAGUGCACACUUUUUAAAGAUCCCAGCUUCUGGACUUCAAAUGGUUCCAUCUUCUCAAAUUUUCUCUACAAAAAUGUUUGCUGUCUGUUGAAGACCCUACAGUUAUAAGUGUCUAAAUGGACCCAAUCUCGUGUAUUUAUAGAUCAGUAUUGGAACAUGUUGCGCCUUCAGAAGCUGUAGAGUCUAAGACCCAUACAUUCAAGACCCGGGUAUUCAGGAACCCCCAUAGCUGUGGUUUUUGUAAGGAGAUCAUAUGGAAUGAAGGCAGAAUCUGCAGAGUAUGUAGAUUUGCUUGCCAUAAAAAGUGUGAAUAUAAGGUAAGUGAAAUCACUUUAUUCUGCCAAUUUUGUCAUGAUUUUGAUGGCCAAAAAUGAUAUAUUACUUGAAAUGAGCCAAGAAAGUUCGAGAUGAUGGAUAAAUGCAUGUUUUAAUGGGGAAAUUAAGUUCACAUUUGGCAUGAUUAGGGCUAGAGGUCAUAGUAAUGAAAUGAUCUGUUUGGAGCCAAAAAGAUUUAAACUUGUAUGAUUUUACAGAGUUAAUGCCCUUCUGGCUCCAAACAGACGAGAUGAAUUGUGCAUUCCAGUAAUAUCUCAAGGGUAUCAUUGGAAUAGUUAUGAAGAAUCUGGCAACACCAUAUGGAAGUGCGGAAUGGAAGGAAAUAUGAACAUUCAGAAAGCAGAUUGGUAUAG